UGAAGAGUUUGAUCCUGGCUCAGGAUGAACGCUAGCGGCAGGCUUAACACAUGCAAGUCGAGGGGUAACAUUAGUGCUUGCACUAGAUGACGACCGGCGCACGGGUGCGUAACGCGUAUAGAAUCUACCUUUUACAGGGGGAUAGCCUUUAGAAAUGAAGAUUAAUAUCCCAUAGUAUUGCGAAGUGGCAUCACUUUGUAAUUAAAGAUUUAUCGGUAAAAGAUGACUAUGCGUCCUAUUAGUUAGUUGGUAAGGUAACGGCUUACCAAGACUUCGAUAGGUAGGGGUCCUGAGAGGGAGAUCCCCCACACUGGUACUGAGACACGGACCAGACUCCUACGGGAGGCAGCAGUGAGGAAUAUUGGGCAAUGGAGGUAACUCUGACCCAGCCAUGCCGCGUGCAGGAAGACUGCCCUAUGGGUUGUAAACUGCUUUUAUACAGGAAGAAACACUGCUACGUGUAGCAGCUUGACGGUACUGUAAGAAUAAGGACCGGCUAACUCCGUGCCAGCAGCCGCGGUAAUACGGAGGGUCCGAGCGUUAUCCGGAAUCAUUGGGUUUAAAGGGUCCGCAGGCGGUCAAUUAAGUCAGAGGUGAAAUCCCAUAGCUUAACUAUGGAACUGCCUUUGAUACUGGUUGACUUGAGUCAUAUGGAAGUAGAUAGAAUGUGUAGUGUAGCGGUGAAAUGCAUAGAUAUUACACAGAAUACCGAUUGCGAAGGCAGUCUACUACGUAUGUACUGACGCUCAUGGACGAAAGCGUGGGGAGCGAACAGGAUUAGAUACCCUGGUAGUCCACGCCGUAAACGAUGGACACUAGUUGUUGGGCAUUAGCUCAGUGACUAAGCGAAAGUGAUAAGUGUCCCACCUGGGGAGUACGAUCGCAAGAUUGAAACUCAAAGGAAUUGACGGGGGCCCGCACAAGCGGUGGAGCAUGUGGUUUAA
This 944-nucleotide ribosomal RNA is filed under the name uncultured Polaribacter sp. Its description in RNAcentral is "bacterial SSU rRNA". It matches the Rfam family "Bacterial small subunit ribosomal RNA", at positions 1 to 949 of the family's 1533-position model. Lineage: Bacteria; Pseudomonadati; Bacteroidota; Flavobacteriia; Flavobacteriales; Flavobacteriaceae. The record is from RNAcentral.